Molecule: ribosomal RNA, 433 nt
Filed under: uncultured bacterium
Lineage: Bacteria
Description: partial 16S ribosomal RNA
Rfam family: Bacterial small subunit ribosomal RNA
Source: RNAcentral
AACGAACGCUGGCGGCAGGCCUAACACAUGCAAGUCGAGCGAGGACUUCGGUUCUAGCGGCGGACGGGUGAGUAACGCGUGGGAAUGUGCCCUUCUCUACGGAAUAGCCCUGGGAAACUGGGAGUAAUACCGUAUACGCCCUAUUGGGGAAAGAUUUAUCGGAGAAGGAUCAGCCCGCGUUGGAUUAGGUAGUUGGUGGGGUAAUGGCCUACCAAGCCGACGAUCCAUAGCUGAUUUGAGAGGAUGAUCAGCCACACUGGGACUGAGACACGGCCCAGACUCCUACGGGAGGCAGCAGUGGGGAAUCUUAGACAAUGGGGGCAACCCUGAUCUAGCCAUGCCGCGUGAGUGAUGAAGGCCUUAGGGUUGUAAAGCUCUUUCAGCUGGGAAGAUAAUGACGGUACCAGCAGAAGAAGCCCCGGCUAACUCCGUG